GGAGGGCAUAGCUCAGUGGUAGAGCUCAUGUUUAAUAUGCAUGAGGUCCUGGGUUCAAUCCCUAGUCCCUCCA
This is a non-coding RNA of Vicugna pacos (alpaca), 73 nucleotides long. Lineage: Eukaryota; Metazoa; Chordata; Mammalia; Artiodactyla; Camelidae. The record is from the annotation of a RefSeq genome assembly.